Molecule: transfer RNA, 72 nt
Filed under: Triticum urartu
Lineage: Eukaryota; Viridiplantae; Streptophyta; Magnoliopsida; Poales; Poaceae
Rfam family: tRNA
About the family: Transfer RNA (tRNA) molecules are approximately 80 nucleotides in length. Their secondary structure includes four short double-helical elements and three loops (D, anti-codon, and T loops). Further hydrogen bonds mediate the characteristic L-shaped molecular structure. tRNAs have two regions of fundamental functional importance: the anti-codon, which is responsible for specific mRNA codon recognition, and the 3' end, to which the tRNAs corresponding amino acid is attached (by aminoacyl-tRNA synthetases). tRNAs cope with the degeneracy of the genetic code in two manners: having more than one tRNA (with a specific anti-codon) for a particular amino acid; and 'wobble' base-pairing, i.e. permitting non-standard base-pairing at the 3rd anti-codon position.
Source: Rfam by way of RNAcentral
ACCUGUGUGACAACCGGUUAGAGUAUCGCUUUCAUACGGCGAGAGUCAUUGGUUCAAAUCCAAUAGUAGGUA